GGGGAUCUAGCUCAGUGGCAUAAGCACCUGCUUUGCAAGCAGGCGGUCGUUCAAUCCCCG
Molecule: transfer RNA, 60 nt
Filed under: Cavia porcellus (domestic guinea pig)
Lineage: Eukaryota; Metazoa; Chordata; Mammalia; Rodentia; Caviidae
Rfam family: tRNA
About the family: Transfer RNA (tRNA) molecules are approximately 80 nucleotides in length. Their secondary structure includes four short double-helical elements and three loops (D, anti-codon, and T loops). Further hydrogen bonds mediate the characteristic L-shaped molecular structure. tRNAs have two regions of fundamental functional importance: the anti-codon, which is responsible for specific mRNA codon recognition, and the 3' end, to which the tRNAs corresponding amino acid is attached (by aminoacyl-tRNA synthetases). tRNAs cope with the degeneracy of the genetic code in two manners: having more than one tRNA (with a specific anti-codon) for a particular amino acid; and 'wobble' base-pairing, i.e. permitting non-standard base-pairing at the 3rd anti-codon position.
Source: Rfam by way of RNAcentral